This is a non-coding RNA of Lupinus albus (white lupine), 309 nucleotides long. Lineage: Eukaryota; Viridiplantae; Streptophyta; Magnoliopsida; Fabales; Fabaceae. The record is from the annotation of a GenBank genome assembly.
GGGUAUGAGCCAAUGGUCUCGAUUGACAAGACUGGCAGAUAAGAUGCAUAACUGUUUAAUUCAGAUAAUGAGAAUCCAUGUGGCCUCAGCCCCUCAUUUGAUGUGAGCCCUAACUGUUGAGCAGCUGCAACCGCACACCACCACGAUCCCGACCUUGCCAUCCUCCUCCUCCUGCUGGUUGUGCUUGUCCCAGCCACCAUUGGUCGCUCAGUGAGUUAUAUACCACAUUUUAGCUAGUUUGAUGGUACUCACUGGUGUAGCUGCACACUUUAUUUUAAUUUUUAUAAUAUAUGCCUUUGAAAUAGGGAG